CUUCAUGUUUGUUUUUCCAUGUGAACUUUUCCAGUCUUACAGAUGCAGCACGUUGGCUCAUGGAUGGACUGGCUGCGCUUUCCUUCAUCUCUGCCAAACUCUUUCCUGGUACCCAACUUUCAAACAUGCCCACAGCGUGGUUCUCCGUGAU
Molecule: long non-coding RNA, 151 nt
Organism: Myotis lucifugus (little brown bat)
Lineage: Eukaryota; Metazoa; Chordata; Mammalia; Chiroptera; Vespertilionidae
Exons: 3
Source: RefSeq, a predicted model, not a curated record